Molecule: ribosomal RNA, 477 nt
Filed under: uncultured Actinomycetes bacterium
Lineage: Bacteria; Bacillati; Actinomycetota; Actinomycetes
Description: bacterial SSU rRNA
Rfam family: Bacterial small subunit ribosomal RNA
Source: RNAcentral
UUAAUUCGACGCAACGCGAAGAACCUUACCAAGGCUUGACAUAUACAGGAAUAUGGCAGAGAUGUCAUAGCCGCAAGGUCUGUAUACAGGUGGUGCAUGGUUGUCGUCAGCUCGUGUCGUGAGAUGUUGGGUUAAGUCCCGCAACGAGCGCAACCCUCGUUCUGUGUUGCCAGCAUUUAGUUGGGGACUCACAGGAGACUGCCGGGGUUAACUCGGAGGAAGGUGGGGAUGACGUCAAAUCAUCAUGCCCCUUAUGUCUUGGGCUGCACGCAUGCUACAAUGGCUGGUACAAACGGCUGCGAUACCGCAAGGUGGAGCGAAUCCGAUAAAGCCAGUCUCAGUUCGGAUUGGGGUCUGCAACUCGACCCCAUGAAGUCGGAGUUGCUAGUAAUCGUAGAUCAGCAACGCUACGGUGAAUACGUUCCCGGGGCUUGUACACACCGCCCGUCACAUCACGAAAGUCGGUAACACCCAAAG